This 253-nucleotide ribosomal RNA is filed under the name uncultured bacterium. RNAcentral's name for it is "partial 16S ribosomal RNA". It matches the Rfam family "Bacterial small subunit ribosomal RNA", at positions 524 to 776 of the family's 1533-position model. The record is from RNAcentral.
UACGUAGGGGGCGAGCGUUGUCCGGAUUUAUUGGGCGUAAAGAGCGUGUAGGCGGCCAGGUAGGUCUGCUGUGAAAACUCGAGGCUCAACCUCGAGACGUCGGCGGAAACCAUCUGGCUAGAGUCCGGAAGAGGAGAGUGGAAUUCCUGGUGUAGCGGUGAAAUGCGCAGAUAUCAGGAAGAACACCGGUGGCGAAAGCGCUCUGCUAGGCCGCAACUGACACUGAGGGACGAAAGCUAGGGGAGCGAAUGGG